UGGCUAUAAAAUAAUUUAUUUUGUAGCCACUUUAAAUUACGAUAAUUACUAUAUUAAUUUACGAGAUUAUAGUAACUCAAUACUAAGUGGUUUACUAUAACGUUAUGGUAAAUAUCUCCAACUAUCGUAAAUAUGUAUUGAUAUUAUCGUAAAUUAGUAUAUAAAAUUAUCGUAAAUGUAGGCGGCUACAGAAUAACUUAUUUUAUAGCUC
Molecule: microRNA precursor, 211 nt
Filed under: Sorghum bicolor (sorghum)
Lineage: Eukaryota; Viridiplantae; Streptophyta; Magnoliopsida; Poales; Poaceae
Description: MIR6217 microRNA precursor family
Rfam family: MIR6217 microRNA precursor family
Source: Rfam by way of RNAcentral